Dermochelys coriacea (leatherback sea turtle) is the source of this 3361-nucleotide RNA transcript. It is a transcript of the gene named GTP binding protein 8 (putative), with no coding region annotated. Lineage: Eukaryota; Metazoa; Chordata; Testudines; Dermochelyidae. The record is from RefSeq and is a predicted model, not a curated record. The transcript is spliced from 7 exons.
CCGCCCCGCCCACGCUCCUCCUCCCCGGGCCGGCCUCUGCCUGAGGCUCCGCGCCGGAGCCAGCCGCUUCCAGUGUCGCCGCCGGGGGGGGGGGACUCCAUCCUCCCCAGCGCGGGGCCCUGCUGCCGCCUGGGCGGGGGACGCUUCGGGGGCGCCGUCUUCUGCUGGGCUGUGAGGAGGGGGCCCCCCUCGUCCAGCUGCCUCCCCUCAGGGCUGUGGGCACGACAGGCCCCGCUUUGCCUCAGCGGCCGGCACUAGCUCCGCCAGGGUCCCCCCCCCCCCGGCAGCCUGACGAGCUUUGUGGGAGCCGGGGCAGCGCGGGCAGAGAUGCGCCGGCUCCAGAGGGCGAGGAGGCUCGCGGGGGCGAACUGCCUGCCCCGGAGACACGGCGCGACGCCGAGCAGCUCUGCCGAAAAUGCGUCGUUUUCGGACGUGCUGCAGCUGGGGGCUAAAAAGCUCGCCGGGCUCGUGUUCCCCCUCCGGCGUCUCGAGCCGUGUCUGGCCCCGGGCGCGAACACGGCGAGCUUCCGGACUUUCAACCCCAGCCGGGGUGACCUCCGCAGGGCAGAGGGGUUUUUCACAGCCUCGGGCAGACACGUGAUCGGUUAUGUCACUUCUGCCGUCCGCAUGGACCAUGCGCCCCGGCUCUCCCAGCCUGAGGUGUGCUUUGUGGGCAGAAGCAAUGUUGGGAAAUCCUCCUUAAUAAAGGCCUUGUUUUCACUGGCUCCAGACGUUGAAGUCAGAGUGUCAAAAACUCCAGGCCACACAAAGAAAAUGAAUUUCUUCAAAGUGGGGAAAUACUUUACCUUGGUGGACAUGCCAGGCUAUGGCUACCGAGCCCCCCAAGACUUUGCUGACAUGGUGGAGGCCUAUUUACAAGAGCGUCAGAACUUGAAGAGGACAUUCUUAUUAGUGGACAGCUUGGUAGGAUUGCAGAAAGCAGACCACAUUGCCAUUGAAAUGUUGGAGGAGUUUGGGAUCCCUUACGUUCUUGUGUUAACCAAAAUCGACAAAGUUCCCAAGGGAUUGUUGGUUAAAAAUGUACUGGAGAUCCAGGACUUCGCAGAGACACACACUCAGGGGUGCUUUCCUCAACUCUUCCCAGUCAGUUCCAUAGAGUAUUCUGGCAUCCACCUGCUGAGGUGUUUUAUAACCCAUGUUACAGGAAACCUUCCCAUGAAGAAUACCUGACAGACCUACCUCUCUCUGUCCACAAUUCUCCCGUUGUACUCUACCCAUCCAGCACAACAGGUCUGGAGCUUGGCUGAAACAAAUCAAGGAGCAGCAGACUCAUUGCCAAAUAAGAAUAUAUUUUGACUGUAUAUUUCUCUCUAUAUUCAUAGUUUAAACCUAUCACUUAAAUUGCUUGUUUCACCUUAUAUAGCCUAGGCCUGGUAUUUCUGCUUGCUGAAUUUGUUUACUAUUACAUGUUCUUGAAUAGGAGAAAAUCCACAUUUGCUUGACUGAGCUGAGAUCUGUAACACCUACAGGGAACUUGGUAGCUGGGCUUGCAAUCCAUACCCUCUGCUAGAUAACUAAGUGGGAAGUUUGCUUUCCUCCAGAGAUAUUUAUGUGCUUUCGCUGCACCAAACCAUACACAUUUGGAUGAAAAUAUUUUGUGGCAGGUGUUCAGUUAAAGAAUGCUGAUUUAAGAGAAGUUAGUGUAUGAUCAGUAGAUUUCUCUAACCAGAAAUGCCAAGAAUAAUAUAUAGCCCCCUGACUCACUGCCUGAAGACCACCAUUCUGAAAAUAUUUACUACCUAACCCCCAUAAGCAAAGAUGUAUAAAGCUUUUAGAGCUCACCUGUUCUAAGGAAUCCUCUAAAAUUAUUUUCUUGUUACUAGCUUUACUUAUUGCCUCUUCAGUCUCAUCUAUUAUCUGCAAAGCGGAACCUGUAAUGCACAUUGAAAAAAAAGACACACACACACACACACGUGUAAGAGAACCAUGUGGUACAGUUCUGAAAUUUACAAGGAAUCGCUGACUGAAUACUGCCCAUUAAUGGGUAUUCAGAAUCUCUCAGCAUCUUUAAAACAGACUUUUUUUUUUAAAAUCAGCCUGCCAAAGAAAUGUUUCCUCCCCACAUCCCAAAACAUGUAUUCUCCCCACCCCCUACCCCCACAAAAGUUACUCCUGCCAGGUAAGAGUCAGCCCUAUAUCAGUAGGUCACUGUUCUAACAAACUUUAAAACUAGUGCAGCACUCAAGACCCACAGACAGUUCAGAGAUGCCUCUGUGUAAUGGACAGAUUUAGUAAUAGUCAGAUUUAGUUUCAAAAGAGGCAGCACAGCUAGGCAGGGGAGAAGGAAUAGAAGCAGUGCAGUUGGUUGCAAAUGGUUGAAGGAAAGGGGGAACAAUACAUGCUGCAGCAGACAAAAAAACAAAAACAAACCAAAAAAACACCGAACAAGUGAGAUGAAGAUGGCUUUAGAAUUCUCCUCUGAGGGAUUGCAGAUUUUACCCAAUCCCUGCACUCUUACUUCUGGGGAAAUUCUGCACCAUUGUGCACAUGCAGAAUUUUUUUUCCCACUGCAGAAAAUACAUUCUGCCCAAGAAGUGCUGCAGUUCUGCCUUUUGCCCAAUUCUGGUGCCACAGAAUUUUUUUUCUGCAGGGGGAAAAAAAAUUCUGCACAUGCCCAGUGGUGCAGAAUUCCCCCAGGACUAGAAAUUCAUCACAGAACCCUGCCUGCAGCACCAGGUUAGGAUAGAAAGAGUGGGGCACAUGGGGCUGCUGGUGGAGGAGGUAUCACACUGAGGUUCAGAAUGGCUAGUGGGGGGACAGACUGGGGCACAGGCUCAGGGGAGCUAGUAGGUUGACAGCAUUGAGCCAGGGGCUAAAUGGGAGUUGGGGUGCAAGGCUGCAUGGGGAGGAAGGCUGAGACACAUGGGGGUGCAGGGACAGUGGUAGCUGUGCCUAUCUGAAUGGGAGAAGUUUGAGGUCAACCAGGGUAUGCAUGGGGGAGGCUCCCCAACUCCCUAACAAUCCCUCCACCCUCCCAAAAAACCCUGUUCCAUACUUCUCAUCCACAGUGAACAACCCUCCAGGUCCAGGCUCCUUCCCUCUCCCUCAGUUCCUCUGUUACCCCGACUCCCCGAAAUCUUUGCAAUACUUCUGACGGGUGUGGGAAAUUCAUUUGAAUUUCAUUACAGAAAUGUAUUACACAAAGUUCUGUACUAAUGGGCUUAGUAAGGAAUCUAUUUGUCCAAAAAAAAAAAAAAAUUACCAGAAAUUUUUUUUGGGGGAAAAGGGGUGUCUAUAUUGUUAGAGACCUACUUCCUGAUGGGUAUUUUGAAACAAAUUUGAAACUGUCAUGAUUAUAUUGUGUUAUUUUGACAAAUAAAAUAUGCACGUUUUUAAAGUA